This 497-nucleotide ribosomal RNA is filed under the name uncultured bacterium. RNAcentral's name for it is "partial 16S ribosomal RNA". It matches the Rfam family "Bacterial small subunit ribosomal RNA", at positions 28 to 507 of the family's 1533-position model. The record is from RNAcentral.
GAUGAACGCUGGCGGCGUGCCUAAUACAUGCAAGUCGAGCGAACGGACGAGAAGCUUGCUUCUCUGAUGUUAGCGGCGGACGGGUGAGUAACACGUGGAUAACCUACCUAUAAGACUGGGAUAACUUCGGGAAACCGGAGCUAAUACCGGAUGAUAUUUUGAACCGCAUGGUUCAAAAGUGAAAGACGGUCUUGCUGUCACUUAUAGAUGGAUCCGCGCUGCAUUAGCUAGUUGGUAAGGUAACGGCUUACCAAGGCAACGAUGCAUAGCCGACCGGAGAGGGUGAUCGGCCACACUGGAGCUGAGACACGGUCCAGACUCCUACGGGAGGCAGCAGUAGGGAAUCUUCCGCAAUGGGCGAAAGCCUGACGGAGCAACGCCGCGUGAGUGAUGAAGGUCUUCGGAUCGUAAAACUCUGUUAUUAGGGAAGAACAUAUGUGUAAGUAACUGUGCACAUCUUGACGGUACCUAAUCAGAAAGCCACGGCUAACUACGUG